GACGAACGCUGGCGGCGUGCUUAACACAUGCAAGUCGAACGAUGAAGCCCAGCUUGCUGGGUGGAUUAGUGGCGAACGGGUGAGUAACACGUGGGCAACCUGCCCCAAACUCUGGGAUAACUCCUCGAAAGAGGUGCUAAUGCCGGAUACGAACUAGACAGACAUCUGUACUAGUUGGAAAGUUUUUCGGUUUGGGAUGGGCCCGCGGCCUAUCAGCUUGUUGGUGAGGUAACGGCUCACCAAGGCUACGACGGGUAACCGGCCUGAGAGGGCGACCGGUCACACUGGGACUGAGACACGGCCCAGACUCCUACGGGAGGCAGCAGUGGGGAAUAUUGCGCAAUGGGCGAAAGCCUGACGCAGCGACGCCGCGUGAGGGAUGAAGGUCUUCGGAUCGUAAACCUCUUUCAGUAGGGACGAAGCGAAAGUGACGGUACCUAAAGAAGAAGCACCGGCUAACUAUGUGCCAGCCGCCGCAGUAA
RNAcentral lists this ribosomal RNA (482 nucleotides) under uncultured bacterium. RNAcentral's name for it is "partial 16S ribosomal RNA". It matches the Rfam family "Bacterial small subunit ribosomal RNA", at positions 28 to 523 of the family's 1533-position model. The record is from RNAcentral.